This 645-nucleotide long non-coding RNA is filed under the name Phoenix dactylifera (date palm). RNAcentral describes it as "long non-coding RNA (PDAC_LNC020061)". The record is from RNAcentral. Lineage: Eukaryota; Viridiplantae; Streptophyta; Magnoliopsida; Arecales; Arecaceae.
CUCUCCCUCUCCCUCUCCCUCAAGUCCGGCGUCGUUGCCCUGUUACAAGAUAAGGCCCCUUCGCCGGAACCUCCUCCCGGCCUAUGCUAAAAAAAAUACGGAGGACUGGAGGAGGGACAUACCUUGGGACGCUGAAGAAUGGGAAGAGGGAGAUCCGCGGAAUGAGGAGCCGGAAGUCAGGAGAUCUAGGGCACCGAGCACGGAAGCGGUAUACUCUUCUCCAAAUGAUCCUCCGCCGCAGCUCAAGAUCUAGGCAUAGCCGCACGGGAGAUCUAAGGCACCGAGCACGGAAGCGGUCUACUCCUCGUCUCCUCCAGAUGAUCCUCCGCCGCAGCUCAAGAGUCAAGACCUAGGGCACGGCCGCACGGGAGCGAAAAAGGGAGGAAGGGGUCCAAGCGGUGAUUCGGUGAAGCGGAUGAUUUAUAUAUCAUCCGCCUCUACUUUCCUUGCGGGCUGCGGGCCUAGCACUGCGGCCCAACGGCCCUGCUGCCCCUGCAGGCCUGCAUGUCUUAAAAAAAUUGAUCCAAAAAAAUUGGGCGGGGCCGGGUCGGGGUGCGGGUCGAAAUUGGACGGAUCCGACCCGAUCCGAAAAAUAGAACGGGUCCAAAUUUAGAACCCGAUCCGGCCCCGCGGAUCCUAAAAUUC